AUUGAACGCUGGCGGUAGGCUUAACACAUGCAAGUCGUGCGAGAAAGUAUCUUCGGAUAUGAGUAGAGCGGCGGACGGGUGAGUAACGCGUAGGAAUCUACCUAGUAGAAGGGGAUAGCCCGGGGAAACUCGGAUUAAUACCGUAUACCUCCUUCGGGAGAAAGAAGGCCUCUCUUUGAAGCUUUCGCUAUUAGAUGAGCCUGCGUAAGAUUAGCUUGUUGGUGAGGUAAAGGCUCACCAAGGCGACGAUCUUUAGCGGGUCUGAGAGGACGAUCCGCCACAUUGGGACUGAGACACGGCCCAGACUCCUACGGGAGGCAGCAGUGGGGAAUAUUGGACAAUGGGCGCAAGCCUGAUCCAGCCAUACCGCGUGUGUGAAGAAGGCCCUAGGGUUGUAAAGCACUUUAAGUUGGGAAGAAAAGUUAUUGGUUAAUACCCAAUAACCGUGACAUUACCAUCAGAAUAAGGACCGGCUAAUUCCGUGCCAGCAGCCGCGGUAAUACGGAAGGUCCAAGCGUUAAUCGGAAUUACUGGGCGUAAAGCGCGCGUAGGUGGUUUAUUAAGUUGGAUGUGAAAUCCCCGGGCUCAACCUGGGAACUGCAUCCAAAACUGAUUCACUAGAGUACGAUAGAGGGAGGUAGAAUUCACAGUGUAGCGGUGGAAUGCGUAGAUAUUGUGAAGAAUACCAAUGGCGAAGGCAGCCUCCUGGAUCUGUACUGACACUGAGGUGCGAAAGCGUGGGUAGCGAACAGGAUUAGAUACCCUGGUAGUCCACGCCGUAAACGAUGUCAACUAGCUGUUGGAAAACUAUGUUUUUCAGUGGCGCAGCUAACGUAGUAAGUUGACCGCCUGGGGAGUACGGCCGCAAGGCUAAAACUCAAAUGAAUUGACGGGGACCCGCACAAGCGGUGGAGCAUGUGGUUUAAUUCGAUGCAACGCGAAAAACCUUACCUAUACUUGACAUACUUGGAAUGCUUUGUAAUGAAGCAGUGCCUUCGGGAGCCAAGAUACAGGUGCUGCAUGGCUGUCGUCAGCUCGUGUCGUGAGAUGUUCCGUUAAGUCGGAUAACGAGCGCAACCCUUACCCUUAUUUGCCAGCGAUUCGGUCGGGAACUAUAAGGGGACUGCCGGUGAUAAACCGGAGGAAGGUGAGGACGACGUCAAGUCAUCAUGGCCCUUACGUAUAGGGCUACACACGUGCUACAAUGGAGAAUACAGACGGACGCUAAGCCGCGAGGUGGUGCUAAUCCUAGAAAAUUCUUCGUAGUCCGGAUUGGAGUCUGCAACUCGACUCCAUGAAGUCGGAAUCGCUAGUAAUCGCGAAUCAGCAUGUCGCGGUGAAUACGUUCUCGGGUCUUGUACACACCGCCCGUCAUACCAUGGAAGUGGAUUGCACCAGAAGUAGAUAGUCUAACCUUCGGGAGGGCGUUUACCACGGUGUGCUUCAUGACUGGGGUAAAGUCGUAACAAGGUAGCCGUAGGGGAACCUGUGGCUGGAUCACCUCCUUA
This 1508-nucleotide ribosomal RNA is filed under the name uncultured marine bacterium. RNAcentral's name for it is "16S ribosomal RNA". It matches the Rfam family "Bacterial small subunit ribosomal RNA". The record is from RNAcentral.